RNAcentral lists this unclassified non-coding RNA (556 nucleotides) under Hevea brasiliensis (rubber tree). Lineage: Eukaryota; Viridiplantae; Streptophyta; Magnoliopsida; Malpighiales; Euphorbiaceae. The record is from RNAcentral.
AUGUUAUGGUACCAACUAGUGAGGGCCCAACAUGGUGGUCACUAGAAAUUGGGUUGCUGAUUCAGCGGCAAGCAGAGACGAAUAAGGAGAAAGCCAAAGGCCCAAAAUUGAAGGGUUGUUUGAAAUAGUUGCACCUGUGGUUACAAUAACCUGAGAAGAAUCAAGGGUGCAUGGCUAUGAUGCGGAGGAGGAUGAUUGCUUUGCUCACUUGGAGAUUAAUUUCAAGUUUCACAAGCUAAGCAAAAUGGUGGACGGGGUUUUGGAACACAUCUACAGACCAGGUUAUCAAACCCGAAUCAAAAUGGCUGCAGCCAUGCCAAUCAUGGCAGAAGAAGGUACGUUUGCAUUUUCUUAUCUGUUUGCUACAGAUUGUGGGGUUUCAAAGUUUGGGUUGAAACAAGGCAUCUGAGGACAGAGAACCAUUUUGGUGUUGAACAUGCUAGCAUCAGAGAGCCAACAGGAGAAUGAAGGGAAACAUUAUGGCAGUGUAGUAAUGGAAAUCAAGCAACUCUCAGAUUUUAAGAAUUUUAUUUGCUUGAAGGCUCUUUAGCACAAU